ACUAACUGGAGGACCGAACCGACUAAUGUUGAAAAAUUAGCGGAUGACCUGUGGCUGGGGGUGAAAGGCCAAUCAAACCGGGAGAUAGCUGGUUCUCCCCGAAAGCUAUUUAGGUAGCGCCUCGUGAAUUCAUCUCCGGGGGUAGAGCACUGUUUCGGCUAGGGGGCCAUCCCGGCUUACCAACCCGAUGCAAACUGCGAAUACCGGAGAAUGUUAUCACGGGAGACACACGGCGGGUGCUAACGUCCGUCGUGAAGAGGGAAACAACCCAGACCGCCAGCUAAGGUCCCAAAGUCAUGGUUAAGUGGGAAACGAUGUGGGAAGGCCCAGACAGCCAGGAUGUUGGCUUAGAAGCAGCCAUCAUUUAAAGAAAGCGUAAUAGCUCACUGGUCGAGUCGGCCUGCGCGGAAGAUGUAACGGGGCUAAACCAUGCACCGAAGCUGCGGCAGCGAACGUAUCACCCAAGACAACUUUACGGAGUUGACGAUUGACGGAGCGAAGCGACGUCAAAGCGUUCAUUAAAGUCGAGUUGGCUUAGGGAUACGUUCGUUGGGUAGGGGAGCGUUCUGUAAGCCUGUGAAGGUGUGUCGUGAGGCAUGCUGGAGGUAUCAGAAGUGCGAAUGCUGACAUAAGUAACGAUAAAGCGGGUGAAAAGCCCGCUCGCCGGAAGACCAAGGGUUCCUGUCCAACGUUAAUCGGGGCAGGGUGAGUCGACCCCUAAGGCGAGGCCGAAAGGCGUAGUCGAUGGGAAACGGGUUAAUAUUCCCGUACUUGGUGUUACUGCGAAGGGGGGACGGAGAAGGCUAUGUUGGCCGGGCGACGGUUGUCCCGGUUUAAGCGUGUAGGUGUGUGUUCCAGGUAAAUCCGGUUCACUUUAACACUGAGGCGUGACGACGAGGCACUACGGUGCUGAAGCAACAAAUGCCCUGCUUCCAGGAAAA
This 941-nucleotide ribosomal RNA is filed under the name Salmonella enterica subsp. enterica serovar Typhimurium. Its description in RNAcentral is "partial 23S ribosomal RNA". It matches the Rfam family "Bacterial large subunit ribosomal RNA", at positions 761 to 1616 of the family's 2925-position model. Lineage: Bacteria; Pseudomonadati; Pseudomonadota; Gammaproteobacteria; Enterobacterales; Enterobacteriaceae. The record is from RNAcentral.